UUUGAUCCUGGCUCAGGAUGAACGCUAGCUACAGGCUUAACACAUGCAAGUCGAGGGGCAGCAUGGUCUUAGCUUGCUAAGGCCGAUGGCGACCGGCGCACGGGUGAGUAACACGUAUCCAACCUGCCGUCUACUCUUGGACAGCCUUCUGAAAGGAAGAUUAAUACAAGAUGGCAUCAUGAGUCCGCAUGUUCACAUGAUUAAAGGUAUUCCGGUAGACGAUGGGGAUGCGUUCCAUUAGAUAGUAGGCGGGGUAACGGCCCACCUAGUCUUCGAUGGAUAGGGGUUCUGAGAGGAAGGUCCCCCACAUUGGAACUGAGACACGGUCCAAACUCCUACGGGAGGCAGCAGUGAGGAAUAUUGGUCAAUGGGCGAGAGCCUGAACCAGCCAAGUAGCGUGAAGGAUGACUGCCCUAUGGGUUGUAAACUUCUUUUAUUAAAGGAAUAAAGUCGGGUAUGGAUACCCGUUUGCAUGUACUUUAUGAAUAAGGAUCGGCUAACUCCGUGCCAGCAGCCGCGGUAAUACGGAGGAUCCGAGCGUUAUCCGGAUUUAUUGGGUUUAAAGGGAGCGUAGAUGGAUGUUUAAGUCAGUUGUGAAAGUUUGCGGCUCAACCGUAUAAUUGCAGUUGAUACUGGAUAUCUUGAGUGCAGUUGAGGCAGGCGGAAUUGGUGGUGUAGCGGUGAAAUGCUUAGAUAUCACGAAGAACUCCGAUUGGGAAGGCAGCCUGCUAAGCUGCAACUGACAUUGAGGCUCGAAAGGGUGGGUAUCAAACAGGAUUAGAUACCCUGGUAGUCCCACACGGUAAACGAUGAAUACUCGCUGUUUGCGAUAUACGGCAAGCGGCCAAGCGAAAGCGUUAAGUAUUCCACCUGGGGAGUACGCCGGCAACGGUGAAACUCAAAGGAAUUGACGGGGGCCCGCACAAGCGGAGGAACAUGUGGUUUAAUUCGAUGAUACGCGAGGAACCUUACCCGGGCUUAAAUUGCAGAUGAAUUACGGUGAAAGCCGUAAGCCGCAAGGCAUCUGUGAAGGUGCUGCAUGGUUGUCGUCAGCUCGUGCCGUGAGGUGUCGGCUUAAGUGCCAUAACGAGCGCAACCCUUGUUGUCAGUUACUAACAGGUCAUGCUGAGGACUCUGACAAGACUGCCAUCGUAAGAUGUGAGGAAGGUGGGGAUGACGUCAAAUCAGCACGGCCCUUACGUCCGGGGCUACACACGUGUUACAAUGGGGGGUACAGAGGGCCGCUACCACGCGAGUGGAUGCCAAUCCCAAAAACCUCUCUCAGUUCGGACUGGAGUCUGCAACCCGACUCCACGAAGCUGGAUUCGCUAGUAAUCGCGCAUCAGCCACGGCGCGGUGAAUACGUUCCCGGGCCUUGCACUCACCGCCCGUCA
Molecule: ribosomal RNA, 1394 nt
Filed under: uncultured bacterium
Lineage: Bacteria
Description: 16S ribosomal RNA
Rfam family: Bacterial small subunit ribosomal RNA
Source: RNAcentral